Molecule: long non-coding RNA, 1890 nt
Filed under: Homo sapiens (human)
Lineage: Eukaryota; Metazoa; Chordata; Mammalia; Primates; Hominidae
Description: non-protein coding lnc-ZNF562-1:2
Source: RNAcentral
GUCAAAUACAGAAUGUGAUGUUCCAUUCCAGCCAAUGGAAACCGGACGCUGCAGUAGGGUGGACACGUCAGGUUAUAAAUGACCCUGUUUCCUUUGUUUAGUGUACUCUAGUGGCAAAACUGCUGGCUAGUGUACCUGUUCUGCCAAAAGUAAAAUGGGCUUACUGAGGAAAUUAAAUUUAUGUUCAAGUGCUAUUUCUUUAUGCACCGGGGAACAAGCAUUUCUAACAACCUGGUCCUACGUGGCUGAAACUGGAUCCCAGAAGCCCCGUCCUUCCCGAAGCUCGUAGCGGAAGUGACAUCAGCCCGCCGCCACUAUCUUUUCCCGCGCUGGCUGCCCACGGUCAGUGCUGUUUCACCUUUAUCUUGGUGGAGUCGACCCCGGCUGUGGACUUCAAAUAACCCUGUACAAAGAGGAAUGGAGAUUGCCUCUAUUCACCUAGAUUCAUAAGUUGCCCUGAGGCAAUCUUGGCAUCAAGGAAGAGAGCAUUGAGGCACAACUGACCAUCAGCUUCAGAGAAUGGCAGUCACUGAUUUGUCCCAUGCAGACAAGAAGCUACAGUGGAUGGAAACUCUGAGAAUUGUGGAGAGGUCUUCAGUGAAUGGUUUUGCCUUAAAACACACAUGAGAGCUCAGAAUGGAGGGAACAUCUUUGAGGGUAAUUGUUAUGGAAAAGACAUCCUCAGUGUGCACAAGGAAGCCUCUAUUGGACAGGAACUUUCCAAAUUUAAUCCAUGUGGAAAAGUCUUCACCUUAACUCCAGAUCUUGCUGCACAUCUUGGAAUUCUCAAUGCAAGACAACCAUACAAAUGUAAGGAAUGUAGAAAAGGCUUUAAGUAUUUUGCAAGCCUUGAUAAUCACAUGGGAAUCCACAUUGGAGAGAAAUUCUGUGAAUUUCAGGAAUGUAGGAGAGCCAUCACUCAUUCCUCACACCUAAAGCAGUGUGUAACAGUUCAUACUGGAAAGAAAUCUAAAAAGACUAAGAAACAUGGGAAAUCCUUCACUAAUUUUUCUCAACUUUCUGCACAUGUGAAAAUUCAUAAAGGAGAGAAGUCCUUUGAAUGUAAAGAAUGUGGAAGAUCCUUUAGAAAUUCCUCAUCCUUUAAUGUUCACAUUCAAAUUCACACUGGAAUAAAACCACACAAAUAUACGGAAUGUGGGAAAGCCUUCACUAGGUCAACUCACCUUACUCAACAUGUAAGAACUCACACUGGAAUAAAACCCUAUGAAUGUAAGGAAUGUGGCCAAGCCUUCACUCAGUACACGGGCCUUGCUAUACACAUACGAAAUCACACUGGAGAGAAACACUAUCAGUGUAAGGAAUGUGGGAAAGCCUUCAAUGGAUCCUCAACCCUUACUCAACAUAAAAUAAUUCACACAGGAGAGAAGCCUUAUGGAUGUGUUGAAUGUGGGAAGACCUUCAUUACUUCUUCCUAUCGUAGUAAACAUUUGAAAACUCACCAUGAAGAAAGGCCCUUUGUAUGCAAGAUAUGUGGGAAAGCAUUUCUAUAUUCCUCACCCCUUAAUGUUCACCUGCAAACUCAUACCAGAGAGAAAGCCCUCAUAUGUAAAGAAUGUGGGAAAGCUUUUGCUGUUUCCUCACACCUAAGUAGACAUGAAAGAAUUCACACUGGGGAGGAACCCUAUGAAUAUAAGGGUAUGAAUGUUACCAUUUAGCUCAUUGGUUGCCAUCUUUAAUUAGUGGCAGUGACACUAAAGAUAUUCAGAUUUGUCCUAAAUGCCUUUUGGAGGUUGUAAUGGCUCAUGAAUUGGCCUUGGGUGCCAUCACAAGGGUCUGAAAUUAAACCUACAGGUUCUGAAUACAACAUCAUGGUUGCCUGAGUCUGGGCAUCUGUGAAGAAGGGUAAUGGAUGGUGAGGUCAGUACUGCA